RNAcentral lists this long non-coding RNA (1156 nucleotides) under Mus musculus (house mouse). RNAcentral's name for it is "long non-coding RNA chr2:72096927-72098083". The record is from RNAcentral. Lineage: Eukaryota; Metazoa; Chordata; Mammalia; Rodentia; Muridae.
UUCUCCCUACUUUUGGAUUAGUCAUGUCCCUGUACUUUUAUUUCAUUUUUUGGUUCUGAGUUCUUGUUGGUGCUUUUGUUUGCCACUUGAUUUCUUCCAUUUCCUGCAACUUUUGCCUUUUCUUUUCUUUUAUUAAUUAUUAUUUUAUUUAUUUAUUUACUUAUUUAAGAUUUAUUUAUUUAUUGUUUGUAAGUACACUGUAGCUGCCUUCAGACACUCCAGAAGAGGGAGUCAGAUCUCAUUAUGGAUGGUUGUGAACCACCAUAUGGUUGCUGGGAUUUGAACUCAGGACCUUCGGAAGAGCACUCUCCAGCCCAACUUUUGCCUUUUCAUCUUCAGUGUACAUGGGAUGGGGGACGGCGGCAGGGCAACCACUCCCAAUCUUCAAAAUUAAACCUUAGUACAAGGAGAUAAGUAUGGAUCGAUUCGCAUUCUUCUACACGAUAACAACCAGUUGUGCCAGCACCAAUUGUUGAAAAUGCUGUCUUUCUUCCACUGGAUGGUUUUAGCUCCCUUGUCGAAGAUCAAGUGACCAUAGGUGUGUGGGUUCAUUUCUGGAUCUUCAAUUCUAUUCCAUUGGUCUACUUGUCUGUCUCUAUACCAGUACCAUGCAGUUUUUAUCACAAUUGCUCUGUAGUAAAGCUUUAGGUCUGGCAUGGUGAUUCCGCCAGAAGUUCUUUUAUCCUUGAGAAGACUUUUUGCUAUCCUAGGUUUUUUGUUAUUCCAGACAAAUUUGCAAAUUGCUCCUUCCAAUUCGUUGAAGAAUUGAGUUGGAAUUUUGAUGGGGAUUGCAUUGAAUCUGUAGAUUGCUUUUGGCAAGAUAGCCAUUUUUACAAUGUUGAUCCUGCCAAUCCAUGAGCAUGGGAGAUCUAAAAAAAAAAAAAAAAAAAAAAAAAAAAAAAAAAAAAAAAAUAAGUUUGUGUAGAAAACAAUCACUUAAAACAUUUUUUGUUAAUUUACUUUUAAAUAUUCUUCUGCUUUACUUUAAAAUAUUAUCAAAAUACUUAGACUGUAUAUUUUUUCCUGUUUCCAACUCCUUCCAGGUCCAUUUCCUCUCUACACAGCCAAGUUCAUGCCAUUUCUCUGUCUCCAAAAAUUAAGAACAAAAAAAUUAAAACAAAAUAAAUAAAUUAACCAAAUAAAAAAUGUUGCACAC